RNAcentral lists this ribosomal RNA (1515 nucleotides) under metagenome. Its description in RNAcentral is "SSU rRNA". It matches the Rfam family "Eukaryotic small subunit ribosomal RNA", at positions 260 to 1801 of the family's 1831-position model. The record is from RNAcentral.
AAUCGCGAUUUAAUUAUGUGAUGAUACGAACGAAAUUCUGCCCUAUCAACUUUCGAUGGUAAAGUAGAGGUUUACCAUGGUUUUAACGGGUAACGGAGAAUCUGGGUUUGAUUCCGGAGAAAAAGCCUGAGAGACGGCUAUUACUUCUAAGGAAGGCAGCAGGCGCGUAAAUUACCCAAUCCCAAUUCGGGGAGGUAGUGACGAGAAAUACUUGUAUUGGCCCCAACGGGGACAAUGAUAGGAAUGAGAACAAUGUAAAAAACUUAACGACUAACAAUUGGAGGGCAAGUCUGGUGCCAGCAGCCGCGGUAAUUCCAGCUCCAAUAGUGUAUAUUAAAGUUGUUGCAGUUAAAAAGCUCGUAGUUGGAUUUCGGAUCUCUUAUUUAGAUUGGUAAUUAUAUUACUGGUCGAUUUGAGGGAUUCUACUUUAAAUGGAUAGUCAAUAUUCAUUAAUUGUUUACUGUGAAAAAAUUAGAGUGUUUAAAGCAGGCAAAUGCCUGAAUAUUUCAGCAUGGGAUAAUUAAAUAUGACAAUAGUCUUAAUUUGUUGGUUUCUAAGGCUAAUGUAAUGAUUAAAAGGGACAGUUGGUGUGACUUGUAUUGGCUCGCUAGGGGUGAAAUCCUAUGAUUGAGUCAAGACAAACUACUGCGAAAGCAUUUCACAAAGAUGUUUUCAUUAAUCAAGAACGAAAGUUGGGGGAUCGAAGAUGAUCAGAUACCGUCGUAGUCUCAACUGUAAACGAUGUCGACUUAGGAUCGGUAAAUAUUACAUGGAUGAUUUUACCGGCACUAUGUGAGAAAUUAAAGUAUUCAGACUCUGGGGGGAGUAUGGUCGCAAGGCUGAAACUUAAAGGAAUUGACGGAAGGGCACCACCAGGCGUGGAAUCUGCGGCUUAAUUUGACCCAACACGGGGAAACUUACCGGGUCCGGACUUUGUGAGGAUUGACAGAUUGAUAGCUCUUUCUUGAUUUAAAGGAUGGUGGUGCAUGGCCGUUUCUAGUUGGUGGAACGAUUUGUCUGGUUAAUUCCGAAAACGAACGAGACCUUAACCUAUUAAAUAUGUUGUAUGAUUGUAAUGUAAAAGUUAAUUUAAUUGUAAAUUUGUAAACUUCUUAAAGGGACUCUUCACAAUUAAGUGAAGGGAAGUUUAAGGCGAAAACAGGUCUGUGAUGCCCUUCGAUGUUCCGGGCUGCACGCGCGUUACACUGUUAUGUUCAAUGAGUUUUUAAAUUCCUUGCUUUAAAAGGCUGGGCAAACUUACCAAAGCAUAACGUGAUUGGGAUUGUGCCUUGUAAUUAUUGCACAUGAACGAGGAAUGCCUAGUAGGGGCAGGUCAUCAGCCUGCUCCGAUUACGUCCCCGCCCUUUGUACACACCGCCCGUCGCUUCUACCGAUUGAAUGAUACGAUAAGGACUCAGGACUGAGUCAGGAUUGUUGGCUGAAAGGACUUCAAUCUUGAUUUGAGAAUUUGUUCAAAUCUUAUUAUUUAGAGGAAGGAGAAGUCGUAACAAGGUU